AAAUUUAUUUAGAAAAAAACUCCGUGACAUGGGAUAUAAAAAUAUUCAUUUGAAGAAAAGCUUCUGUCUAGAAAAUAUUUACAUUAUACACAAAAAAAUAACAAAGUGCAACAUCAAUAAACUGCUAUUACGACUUUAAAACUGUACAUUUGAGGUUGCAGGAAAAAUUAAAUCAAUGCUCAAAGUUAUUCUUUAACGUACACUAUAAACAGAUAAUGUACAUGUACUAGAAUCUAUUUACAUGUUAGCUCCAAAAGAUGCUGCUCAGCUAUUCAAACAAGUAUUUAAAAUAUCUAUUACUUUAAAUCUAGUUAGGUCAAAGGUCAGGUUUACAGGAAAACAAAUCAAUUUCUUUUCCCUCUUCUUUGCCAAACUGUUUCAAUUCACUUUUCAUCCAAACAAGCUGCUGGCCACGCUUUCCAGCUCAACGUUUAAGCUCACAUGUGAAAAUGGCUGCAAAUAGAUGCGCAAUUAUGUCUUAUUACCUUUGAAAAGCAGAAGUGGAGCCUCCUCCACAACCAACAAGAAUCCAGCAAGUGGUUUCUGGAUGGUAAAUCAACAACAAAACACUUGUCUUUCCAGCAGCCAUUGUACAGUCAAACAGCCAAACAAGCUGGAGCUUGGCUGGGGUUGCUAGGUAAUGGGCAGAGUUCCUCUGGGGUUGCUAGGUAACCGGCAGAGUUCCACUGGGGUUGCUAGGUAACGAGCAGAGUUCUGCUGGUGUUGCUAGGUAAUGUGAGGGGCAGUAAAGACCCAAAUGUAAGUA
Xiphophorus couchianus (Monterrey platyfish) is the source of this 766-nucleotide long non-coding RNA. RefSeq lists it as uncharacterized. The record is from RefSeq and is a predicted model, not a curated record. The transcript has 2 exons. Lineage: Eukaryota; Metazoa; Chordata; Actinopteri; Cyprinodontiformes; Poeciliidae.